CUGAGACUACACCCUAUCCUGCAUGUCGUCACCUGCAGCUGUUUCCAGGCUCCAAGAAUGGAUUGGCAGAGGAUGGGCCUUCCCCCCCAUCCCCCCACCCCCUUUAUAAGCACAGUUUUCUAUUAACAUUUGAGCUUUGAUCAGGAACCUUGGCUUAGCUCCAUUUUUCUCUCGAUUGCCUAGUUCCCCUCUCUUUUUCAGCCCCAGCUUGCCUCCCAGGUGAAGCUGGUCUAUGUGAGCCUCGGGACAGCUUCCAACAGUCGGCGCCUGGACCAGGGACCUGAAGAAUCACAGAAAAACGCUGGAGGAAUGCUGCUUGGUGUGGAGCUCCACGGGAAGAAAAGAAUCAGAGAAAAGAAUCGUAUCGGGGCAUGGUAAACAACAGAUGAGAAGGAAAACCUGUGAAGAAUCCUCGUUUGCCCUCUUCUGACUUAGGCUCUGGCAAAACCUCUCAGGAGACAGCUAUAUCAGGCUCCUAUCUGCAACCACUUCUUGGCAUCCAUAAUAGUGUCUGAGUUUGGUGUCUAUAUAUGGGAUGGAUCUCCAGGUACUAAAGGCAUAACAAGACUGAGAAAAUGACUUGCCAUGUCUUCUGUAAAGCUGAGAUCUUGGUGGUAGGCAGAUGAUCAAGAAUCAACAGUGAAAAAAAAUCAGUGUUGACCGUUUCUGGAGGUGAACAUGGCAGAGAAUCAAGAAAAAAGCAGCAGGCCACAGACUUUGCCCAGUAUAAUGGCUGUGUUAGGAAAUAAUGCGACACAAGAAUGACCAACUAAUGAAGUGAGAUGUGAAGUCACUGCGGUUUCAAGACAAAUAUAUCACUUCCUAAUAAUUCAGAAUAUGUUUGAAUAGAGAAUAUGUGAAUAUAUGCCUAAGAUUUUACUGACAGUUCUUGCAUAUUUUUAAAAAUGUCUCUAGGUUUCAUGCAUUUCACACACACACACACACACACACACACACACACACAUACACACACACACACACACACCUUAGUAGGCAUGACUAAAUAGAGCACAUGGGCAAUAUGAGUUUUAAAACAAGUCUUAUUUAUAGACUCAUGAAACUGGCUCUUAUAGAAGUAGUCAUGAGAUCCAGCUUUCUCCCUACUGGCUAGUAGCAUAGUAGCAUACAGGAUGCUAGAUAGUGGUGGCUGUCAAUAGUCUUAUCCAGCUGUGAACCCAUUGAGCUCCAGAUGAUAAGACCUACUCCACUGGAGGAAACUCAUAACUGAUGCUAUAAAUAUGCCAAAGAACCCAUAGAUUUAGAUUUUAUAGCCCCUGGACCAGACAUACUACUAUAUUCUACAAAAUGGACAUAAUCCACAUGCAUCAUAGAAAUAGCACCUCAUACUUCUGGGA
Molecule: long non-coding RNA, 1355 nt
Filed under: Mus musculus (house mouse)
Lineage: Eukaryota; Metazoa; Chordata; Mammalia; Rodentia; Muridae
Description: predicted gene, 40663
Source: RNAcentral